AGGCUUGUAGCUCAGGUGGUUAGAGCGUACCCCUGAUAAGGGUGAGGUCGGUGGUUCAAGUCCACUCAGGCCUACCA
RNAcentral lists this transfer RNA (77 nucleotides) under Citrobacter freundii. Its description in RNAcentral is "tRNA-Ile". It matches the Rfam family "tRNA". Rfam says of the family: Transfer RNA (tRNA) molecules are approximately 80 nucleotides in length. Their secondary structure includes four short double-helical elements and three loops (D, anti-codon, and T loops). Further hydrogen bonds mediate the characteristic L-shaped molecular structure. tRNAs have two regions of fundamental functional importance: the anti-codon, which is responsible for specific mRNA codon recognition, and the 3' end, to which the tRNAs corresponding amino acid is attached (by aminoacyl-tRNA synthetases). tRNAs cope with the degeneracy of the genetic code in two manners: having more than one tRNA (with a specific anti-codon) for a particular amino acid; and 'wobble' base-pairing, i.e. permitting non-standard base-pairing at the 3rd anti-codon position. Lineage: Bacteria; Pseudomonadati; Pseudomonadota; Gammaproteobacteria; Enterobacterales; Enterobacteriaceae. RNAcentral also lists the same sequence under 2 other names. The record is from RNAcentral.